Molecule: unclassified non-coding RNA, 331 nt
Filed under: soil metagenome
Description: partial contains 5.8S ribosomal RNA, internal transcribed spacer 2, and large subunit ribosomal RNA
Rfam family: 5.8S ribosomal RNA (bases 1-120)
Source: RNAcentral
GAUGAAGAACGUAGCGAAAUGCGAUAAGUAAUGUGAAUUGCAGAAUUCAGUGAAUCAUCGAAUCUCUGAACGCACAUUGCGCCCCCUGGUAUUCCGGGGGGCAUGCCUGUUCGAGCGUCAUUUCACCACUCAAGCCUCGCUUGGUAUUGGGCAACGCGGUCCGCCGCGUGCCUCAAAUCGACCGGCUGGGUCUUCUGUCCCCUAAGCGUUGUGGAAACUAUUCGCUAAAGGGUGCUCGGGAGGCUACGCCGUAAAACAAACCCAUUUCUAAGGUUGACCUCGGAUCAGGUAGGGAUACCCGCUGAACUUAAGCAUAUCAAUAAGCGGAGGA